This is a non-coding RNA of Dipodomys ordii (Ord's kangaroo rat), 73 nucleotides long. The record is from Rfam. NCBI's taxonomy places the organism in Eukaryota, Metazoa, Chordata, Mammalia, Rodentia, Heteromyidae.
GGUGGCUCAGUGGUAGAGCGCUUGCCUUGCAUGCAUGCAUGCAUGAGGCCCUGGGUUCGAUUCCUCAGCACCA